GGCCGCGGGAAUUCGAUUCAGGCCUAACACAUGCAAGUCGAACGGUAGCACAGAGAGCUUGCUCUUGGGUGACGAGUGGCGGACGGGUGAGUAAUGUCUGGGAAACUGCCCGAUGGAGGGGGAUAACUACUGGAAACGGUAGCUAAUACCGCAUAACGUCGCAAGACCAAAGUGGGGGACCUUCGGGCCUCACACCAUCGGAUGUGCCCAGAUGGGAUUAGCUAGUUGGUGAGGUAAUGGCUCACCAAGGCGACGAUCCCCAGCUGGUCUGAGAGGAUGACCAGCCACACUGGAACUGAGACACGGUCCAGACUCCUACGGGAGGCAGCAGUGGGGAAUAUUGCACAAUGGGCGCAAGCCUGAUGCAGCAAGGCCGCGUGUAUGAAGAAGGCCUUCGGGUUGUAAAGUAAUUGAGCGAGGAGGAAGGCAUUAAGGUUAAUAACCUUAGUGAUUGACGUACUCGCAGA
RNAcentral lists this ribosomal RNA (467 nucleotides) under uncultured bacterium. RNAcentral describes it as "bacterial SSU rRNA". It matches the Rfam family "Bacterial small subunit ribosomal RNA", at positions 39 to 485 of the family's 1533-position model. The record is from RNAcentral.